GACGAACGCUGGCGGCGUGCUUAACACAUGCAAGUCGAACGGAAAGGCCCUGCUUUUGUGGGGUGCUCGAGUGGCGAACGGGUGAGUAACACGUGAGUAACCUGCCCUUGACUUUGGUAUAACUUCAGGAAACUGGGGCUAAUACCGGAUAGGAGCUCCUGCUGCAUGGUGGGGUUUGGAAAGUUUCGGCGGUUGGGGAUGGACUCGCGGCUUAUCAGCUUGUUGGUGGGGUAGUGGCUUACCAAGGCUUUGACGGGUAGCCGGCCUGAGAGGGUGACCGGCCACAUUGGGACUGAGAUACGGCCCAGACUCCUACGGGAGGCAGCAGUGGGGAAUAUUGCACAAUGGGCGGAAGCCUGAUGCAGCAACGCCGCGUGCGGGAUGACGGCCUUCGGGUUGUAAACCGCUUUCGCCUGUGACGAAGCGUGAGUGACGGUAAUGGGUAAAGAAGCACCGGCUAACUACGUG
Molecule: ribosomal RNA, 468 nt
Filed under: uncultured bacterium
Lineage: Bacteria
Description: partial 16S ribosomal RNA
Rfam family: Bacterial small subunit ribosomal RNA
Source: RNAcentral